This 2253-nucleotide ribosomal RNA is filed under the name Triticum aestivum (bread wheat). RNAcentral describes it as "partial small subunit ribosomal RNA". The record is from RNAcentral. Lineage: Eukaryota; Viridiplantae; Streptophyta; Magnoliopsida; Poales; Poaceae.
AUGCUUCCUUCGCGCCAUCUCCGCGCCGCCGUGCGGCAGAGAAGCCACCGCCCCCCAGCCGCCGGAGAAGCCUUCUCCGGAAAGCUCGAUGCGGAUGUGAUCCGGCGCAACAAGGCCAUCACGGUCCACAUGCGCGCCGGCCGCGUCGGCGAGGCCGAGCGCCUAUUUGACGCCAUGCCCAGCCGCUCCACCUCCACCUACAACGCCAUGCUCGCCGGGUAUGCCUCCAAUGGACGCCUCCCUGUCGCGCUCUCCCUCUUCCGCUCCAUCCCACGCCCGGACACAUUCUCCUACAACACUCUCCUCCAUGCGCUUGCAGUCUCAUCGUCCCUCACUGACGCCCGUAGCCUGUUCGACCAAAUGCCGGUGAAGGACUCAGUGACAUACAACGUCAUGAUCUCGUCUCAUGCCAACCAUGGACUUGUCUCUCUUGCACGGAAGUACUUCGAUCUUGCUCCGGAGAAGGAUGCUGUCUCAUGGAACGGCAUGCUUGCUGCUUAUGUCCGGAAUGGACGGGUUCAAGAAGCAAGGGAGUUGUUUAAUUCAAGGACAGAGUGGGAUGCCAUUUCUUGGAACGCCUUGAUGGCUGGGUAUGUGCAGUUGGGUCGGAUGGCAGAAGCACAGGAGCUUUUUGAUAGGAUGCCACAAAGAGAUGUUGUUUCCUGGAACACCAUGGUCUCAGGUUAUGCCAGGGGAGGGGAUAUGGUGGAGGCAAGAAGGAUGUUCGACAUGGCACCCGUGCGUGAUGUGUUCACAUGGACAGCAGUAGUUUCUGGGUAUGCGCAAAAUGGAAUGCUGGAGGAUGCCCGGAUGGUGUUUGAUGCCAUGCCUGAGAGGAACCCAGUGUCAUGGAAUGCAAUGGUGGCAGCUUAUGUCCAGCGGAGGAUGAUGGAGAAAGCAAAGGAGCUGUUUGACAUCAUGCCUUGCAGGAAUGUGGCGUCAUGGAACACAAUGUUGACAGGGUAUGCUCAGGCAGGGAUGUUGGAUGAGGCAAGGGCAGUUUUUGACAUGAUGCCACAGAAAGAUGCAGUCUCUUGGGCUGCAAUGUUGGCUGCAUACGCACAAGGUGGUUUCAGUGAGGAAACCCUACAGCUGUUCAUCAAAAUGGGGCGGUGCGGUGAGUGGGUGAAUAGGUCAGCAUUCGCUUGUUUGUUGAGCACAUGUGCUGACAUUGCUGCACUAGAGUGUGGAAUGCAGCUGCAUGGGAGGUUGAUUAAAGCUGGAUACGGGUUGGGUAGGUUUGUUGGGAAUGCGCUCUUAGCUAUGUACUUCAAAUGUGGAAACAUGGAGGAUGCUCGAAAUGCAUUUGAGCAGAUGGAGGACAGGGAUGCAGUUUCUUGGAAUACUGUGAUCGCCGGUUAUGCACGUCAUGGUUUUGGCAAGGAAGCACUUGAGGUGUUCGAUAUGAUGAGAGCGACAUCAACCAAGCCAGAUGAUAUUACUCUAGUUGGAGUACUUGCAGCUUGUAGUCAUUCUGGCUUGGUUGAGAAAGGCAUUUCAUACUUUUAUUCGAUGCACCGCGAUUUCGGUGUGACAGCGAAGCCUGAACAUUAUACUUGUAUGAUAGACUUGCUUGGACGAGCUGGUCGAUUAGAUGAAGCACAGGGCCUUAUGAAGGACAUGCCAUUUGAGCCAGACGCUACCAUGUGGGGUGCAUUGCUUGGUGCGAGUAGGAUCCACCGCAACUCCGAACUAGGCAAGAGUGCAGCUGAGAAAAUAUUUGAGUUGGAGCCUGAAAAUGCUGGCAUGUAUGUCUUGCUUUCAAAUAUAUAUGCAUCUUCUGGCAAAUGGCGUGAUGUGGGGAAGAUGAGAGUUAUGAUGGAGGAUCGCGGUGUGAAAAAAGUGCCUGGAUUCAGUUGGAUGGAAGUACAAAACAAAGUACACACUUUCUCGGUUGGUGACUGUGUGCACCCCGAAAAGGAAAAGAUAUAUGCUUUCCUGGAAGACCUUGACAUGAGGAUUAAGAAAGCUGGCUAUGUGUCAGCUACAGAAAUGGUUUUGCAUGAUGUGGAGGACGAAGAGAAGGAACACAUGCUAAAGUAUCAUAGCGAGAAGCUUGCUGUUGCUUAUGGUAUUCUAAAUAUUCCUGUUGGGAGGCCUAUCCGAGUGAUCAAAAACCUCAGAGUAUGCGGAGAUUGUCACAAUGCUUUCAAGUAUAUCUCUGCAAUUGAGGGCAGGCUGAUCAUCCUGCGGGACUCUAACCGCUUUCACCACUUCAGAGAUGGUUCUUGUUCCUGUGGUGAUUACUGGUGA